This 380-nucleotide ribosomal RNA is filed under the name uncultured Alphaproteobacteria bacterium. Its description in RNAcentral is "bacterial SSU rRNA". It matches the Rfam family "Bacterial small subunit ribosomal RNA", at positions 64 to 500 of the family's 1533-position model. The record is from RNAcentral. Lineage: Bacteria; Pseudomonadati; Pseudomonadota; Alphaproteobacteria.
GAACGCAGUAGCAAUGCUGAGUGGCAAACGGGUGAGUAUACUGCCUUUUGGUCUGGAAUAACACGGGGAAACUUGUGCUAAUACCGGAUAAGCCUUUACGGGGAAAGUUUUAAUGCCGAAAGAUGAGCCUGCACUUGAUUAGCUAGUUGGUAAGGUAAAAGCUUACCAAGGCAACGAUCAAUAGCUGUUCUUAGAGGAAGACCAGCCACAUUGGGACUGAGACACGGNCCAGACUCCUACGGGAGGCAGCAGUGGGGAAUCUUGCACAAUGGGGGAAACCCUGAUGCAGCGAUGCCGCGUGAGUGAAGAAGGCCCUUGGGUUGUAAAACUCUUUCGUCGGNGAAGAAAAUGACUGUNCCCGAAUAAGAAGGUCCGGCUAA